GCUGUGGACACAAAAGGGGGUGUAGGUCAGAAAAAGAGCACAUAAGCUAUUUUGCAGAAUAUUCCCCUCAGCAGCCCACCCACGUUGUGAAAAAAUGGAAAUAACGGGCCCCUGAAAAGCCCCAACAUUUGUAGAGGGAAACGAGGAUGUUCAAUAAUUUAAAAAGCGCAGUUCUGACCAGCUUCUAGGGCAAUGCAUUCAUGCCUCAUGGCAAUGCCUGCUGCUAUUACCAUUAGACUAGGUUAAGCAGUCCUCUAAUGAGGACAAAACAAGUAUGACUUUAAUAAAAGUAGCCCAAACAGAGCUAGAUCUACAAAGAUUUUUUUAAAAGAUGGAAGAUGGUAUAUGUUACAAAUAGGAGUAGCACAAUUGCUACUGUUUGAAAUGUAAAAAGAAAAGUUUUGGAAUAUUUACUAAAGAAAAAAAAAUAGACAUUACCCAGUGAUCUAAUGAUCUAAUAAUCUUUCCUAUGUGCACCUAUAAGAACUAAGGGUUGUUUUAAUUGGCAUUAACUAAAUCUGGAGAGAAUUUUUAUUUGGAGGUUUAAAGAACUUUUUUUCCUUUUAUGACUUCUAAUUCAGUAACUUUUCUAGAAUGAGAAUUUAGGUUGUUAAUUUUGGAAGACACAGAAUUAGUUCCUCUCUCCUACCAGGCUUUAAAGUAACCUUGCUUUUCUAAGGGCACUGUUAUCAGAUUUUAAGGAUCUUUGUUAAUAUAAUUACCAUUCCUUGAACAUUUGUUCUCUGCUUUUUGUAUUAAGCUAGGCUAGGUUUUCUAGCAAAGAAUGGCAGUUAGGAGUCUGAUAAGAACCAAUUUAAGCCUCAAUAUUCUGAGCAAUAGGAGGAAAUGGACAUGAACUAAAGUACUUAUGGGUAUUAUAUAACCUGACAAAUUUUAUGAUUUUAAUAAAUGGAGUAUCUUUGCAGCUGAGAAUAGUGAUGUUUAUUAUCUAAUCAGUUUCCCACAAACCUGUAAGAAGAUCUGCUGGAGCCUCUCUAUGCAGUUCUUAUACCACGGUGUUAAUAUGCUGGUCCCGUCCGUCUCACAUCGUACUAAAUGCUCAGUCAAGAUCAUGAUAAAGCGCUGGAAAGGGGGUACAGAGUUAGAGGUGUUAAGAGAGGGAGUGAAUGAAUUCUUCAGAAACAAUCCCACCUUGACCAAGGGACUGUAAAGAUGCUAUCUGUUCUGCUGUCUUUUUGAUAUAUAACUUUUCAUAAUUCAACAAAUACUGUCUACAAAGACACACCAGUAAUAAUGUUAGUACAUUCUCUUUGGCAAUAGGUAAGGACCUUUAAUGUCUAGAUUACUUAGGACAUAAUCAGAACUGUUAGAGGAAUCUAUGUACAAAAAUGUUCAUCAAGAAG
Long non-coding RNA from Pipistrellus kuhlii (Kuhl's pipistrelle), 1364 nucleotides. RefSeq lists it as uncharacterized. The record is from RefSeq and is a predicted model, not a curated record. NCBI's taxonomy places the organism in Eukaryota, Metazoa, Chordata, Mammalia, Chiroptera, Vespertilionidae. The transcript has 2 exons.